Molecule: ribosomal RNA, 694 nt
Filed under: uncultured bacterium
Lineage: Bacteria
Description: bacterial SSU rRNA
Rfam family: Bacterial small subunit ribosomal RNA
Source: RNAcentral
AACGCUAGCUACAGGCUUAACACAUGCAAGUCGCGGGGCAGCAUUUUCCUAGCUUGCUUUGAUAGAUGGCGACCGGCGCACGGGUGAGUAACGCGUAUCCAACCUUCCCCAUAGUCAGGAAUAGCCCGGCGAAAGUCGAAUUAAUGCCUGAUGUUUUCCACGGACGGCAUCCGAUGUGGAACAAAGAUUCAUCGCUAUGGGAUGGGGAUGCGUCUGAUUAGCUUGUUGGCGGGGUAACGGCCCACCAAGGCGACGAUCAGUAGGGGUUCUGAGAGGAAGGUCCCCCACAUUGGAACUGAGACACGGUCCAAACUCCUACGGGAGGCAGCAGUGAGGAAUAUUGGUCAAUGGGCGAGAGCCUGAACCAGCCAAGUAGCGUGCAGGAUGACGGCCCUAUGGGUUGUAAACUGCUUUUAUAAGGGAAUAAAGUGAGCCUCGUGAGGCUUUUUGCAUGUACCUUAUGAAUAAGGACCGGCUAAUUCCGUGCCAGCAGCCGCGGUAAUACGGAAGGUCCGGGCGUUAUCCGGAUUUAUUGGGUUUAAAGGGAGCGUAGGCCGGAGAUUAAGCGUGUUGUGAAAUGUAGAUGCUCAACAUCUGAACUGCAGCGCGAACUGGUUUCCUUGAGUACGCACAAAGUGGGCGGAAUUCGUGGUGUAGCGGUGAAAUGCUUAGAUAUCACGAAGAACUCCGAUUG